Long non-coding RNA from Girardinichthys multiradiatus, 2090 nucleotides. RefSeq lists it as uncharacterized. Lineage: Eukaryota; Metazoa; Chordata; Actinopteri; Cyprinodontiformes; Goodeidae. The transcript has 3 exons. The record is from RefSeq and is a predicted model, not a curated record.
GGACUGUACCAGCUCACUUUCACCCCUGCAUAUACCAGGAAUUUAGUUUUGCUUAACUUCUAUGUUCAUUUCCUACUAAACUGCAUUUCAGAAUGUAUCCUCCAGUGUAGCUGAAGUAAAGGUUUCCACAGAGUAGGGUAUACUGUACAUGUACAUUUCUCAUGACAAAUGCUUACAUUUCCCACACUUUCUGUCACGGCGUCAUCGGACGAGGAGGAAAAGCUAAUUUGCCUUGUAGCUUCGGAAAAACAAAGGAAGGUGUUAGAUAAGGCCAUUAAACCAGACUAGGGACAAAAAAGGGGAAAACAAUACGAUGGUGAAGGACAUGAAGACGAUGGAGAGUGAGAAACACUGUAAAUACUUCUAAAUAGAUAGUAGCAACUUUGAUAAGCUAGUUGGGUGCCAAGCCCCAUUUCUUCUCCACCUAGGCACCCACCAUACACCUGUCAGUGCAAAGCAGAGAGUGGACGUCCUCGCGACUGGGUGCUCGAAGCAGUGUGUUGCUGCAAGCUAUCACCUGGGCAUAUCAACUGUGUCACAAAUAAUGUUGGAGUUCAAAUUGCUUCUCUGAAGUAAUUCCUGAUGUCUUUCCAUCUUUGGACUAUCCUAACACACAUUUCCAGAUGUUCUGCAUUUGACCAGGGUCAGUGUCACUACUGGUGGCAUGAGGAGACACCUGGACCCUACAGAGGUUGCACAGGCAGUCCAAGACCACCAGGAUGGCACAUAAAUACGUGCCAUUGCCCGAAGGUUUGCUGCAUCUCCCAGCACAGUCUCAAGAGCAUGAAGGAGAUUCCAGGAGACAAGCAGUCACUCUAGGAGAGCCGGAAAGAACCAUUGGAGAUCCUUAACCCAUCAGCAGGACCUGUAUCUACUCCUUUGUGUGAGGAGGAACAAGAUGAGUACUGCCAGAGCCCUACAAAGUGACCCGCAGCAGGUCACUGGUGUGAUUGUCUCUGACCAAACCAUUAGAAACAGAAUUCAUGAAGGUGGCCUGAGGGGCGGAUGUCCUCUAGUAGGCCCUGUGCUCACUGCCCAGCACCAUGAAGCAUAACUGGAAUUUGCCAAAGAACGCAGCAAGUUUGGUACUGGUGCCCUUUUCUUUUCAUAGAUGAGAGCAGGUUCAAUCUGAGCUCAUUUGACAGACAUGAAAAUGUCUGGAGAAGCUGCUGUGAAGGUUAAGCUGCCUGCAACAUUGUUGAGCAUUAUCGAUUUGGUGGUGGGUCAGUGUCUGGGAAGACACGUCCAUGGAGGGAACCACAAACCUGUACAGGAUUAAUGACGGCACCAUAACUGCCAUUAGGUAUCUGAAUGAAAUCCUUAGACCCAUUUUUAGACCUUCUGCUGGUGCAGUGGGUUCUGGGGUCCUCCUGGUGCAUGAUAAUAACUGGUCUCAUGUGACAAGAGUAUGCAGGCAGUUAUUGGAGAAUGAAGCCAUUGAUACCACUGACUGGCCUCAAUGCUCCCCUGACCUAAAUCAAAUAGAACAUCUCUGGAGCAUCAUGGCUAGGUCCAUCUGACAGCACCACGUUUCACCUCAGACAUUUUUCAGGAGCUCAGUGAUGCCCUAGUUAGGAUCUGGGAGGAGAUACCCCUGGAUACCAUCUGUCAUCUCAUGAGGAGCAUGUCCAGUGUUGUCAGGCAUGCAUACAAGCACAUGGCCAUAGAAACUACUGAGUACCAUUCGCAGUUGCUGCAAUGACAGUUCAGCAAAUUGGACCAUCCUGCUGCAUCAGUUUUUCAGUUAAAUUUCUCUGUGACUUUGGAUUAAGCCCUCCGUGGGUUGAUAAUCUUCAGUUUCAUCACUGAUGUGGCAUCCCUUUGUUUCCAACACAUUACCCAUUCCAAAUCAGUACAGAUACCAAACAUGAUUUUUUUUUUUUUUCAAAUGAGGUCUUUUGUGUUUUCAAAGUGUUCCUUUGAUUAAUUUGAGCAGUAUAUAUUUAUAUGGAUAAAUUGGAUAAAUGCUUUUUUAGUAAGUGCCUUUAGACGACAUUGGUUGUGAAUUGUCGCUAUAUAAAUAAACAGGACUGACAGCAGCUCAGGAGAUUUACUUUUAGAAGGUACAGAAUUACUUUUAUUAUUGUUUU